GGAUUAGAUACCCUGGUAGUCCAUGCCGUAAACGAUGUGUGUUAGACGUUGGAAAUUUAUUUUCAGUGUCGCAGCGAAAGCGAUAAACACACCGCCUGGGGAGUACGACCGCAAGGUUAAAACUCAAAUGAAUUGACGGGGACCCGCACAAGUAGUGGAGCAUGUGGUUUAAUUCGAAGAUACGCGCAGAACCUUACCAACACUUGACAUGUUCGUCGCGACUUUAAGAGAUUAAAGUUUUCGGUUCGGCCGGACGAAACACAGGUGCUGCAUGGCUGUCGUCAGCUCGUGCCG
This 294-nucleotide ribosomal RNA is filed under the name uncultured bacterium. RNAcentral describes it as "partial 16S ribosomal RNA". It matches the Rfam family "Bacterial small subunit ribosomal RNA", at positions 775 to 1067 of the family's 1533-position model. The record is from RNAcentral.